Molecule: long non-coding RNA, 2575 nt
Organism: Cyclopterus lumpus (lumpfish)
Lineage: Eukaryota; Metazoa; Chordata; Actinopteri; Perciformes; Cyclopteridae
Exons: 7
Source: RefSeq, a predicted model, not a curated record
UUAAAAGACACUUUACAGUCAUUAUUUAACCUUUAUAUGUGCUGUAAAAAGCCCAGGCUGUGAUAUGUGGUAUCCUCUGAAGUGAUGCAGUGAGUCUACUAUGUGGCAACAUCUCAACAAAGUGCAACAGAAGCCUUCUCAAGAGCCGGCGUCAAGUAUUUGAGCUACUUUACUUGUAUGACUUUAUAGUAUUUCCAUCUUAUGCAACGUUAUACUUCUUGUCUAAUCUCAAAGGCCUCGUCCAAACACUUGGAGGAGCGGUUCCAACGCAGGAAGACUCCUGUAAUAGAAGAGAGAGCACUCAGCAGGCUCUGAGGGGCCACAGAGGGCCAGAUCACAAGGCUGUUGGCCUCGUAGAGUGGGUUGGUCAGACGCUCCAGUUCUUGGGGCCGGUUCACCCACGACCAAAGGGACACAGUCUUCUCAGGCAAAGACAGUUUGGCUCUAUGAAAAGGGUGAGAGGGUGUUCACCAAUGGUUAACCACUAAGAACAGUGGUUGCCUAUACACACAAUGACACGUCCCUGGAUGAACAAGGAAAAUCACAACGCAAUGUGAAGGAAACGCGUCAUGACAUAUUUGUUGCAUCCUUACAUCAAUGUCAUGAAUAGGACAAUCUGUAAAAAGUUGUAUAAACCCUGCAUAUUGUAUCUGAUUGCAUUAGAUUAUUUAUGAGCAAAAGAAGCAUAUGGCGGACAUAAGCUGGUAGACCAACCACAACAGACUUCAGACUCACCUCUCAGCUGUACUGUUGCCCAGGAAGGUGCCAAACUGAGAAGCAUAGGCGUGAUCAAAGACCAGCACCAGGAAGCUCUCGCUGAAUUCAAAGGAACAUGGAAACUGGCGAAGGAUCUGCCACACACAGUCCAAGAAGAGAAGGAAGACGGGAGCCUCUUGACGAGGCUUGCUGUUGGAGAAGGCCGACUGGGCGCAGCGGUGGUGGAACGGGUGACCCGCCUGAGACAGAUGGUCAAAGAGGUCCUGAAAACGACUUUGGCAGUGCUUCAAAAGGUCAGAUAACUUUACCUGGAGCCACUCUCGCUCCACCAGGCCUUGGAAGCCUCUGAUGGUCCUGCAGGCCGGAUCAAGGAUGAUCUGAGCCAAGGAGGUCACCUGCAGGGUGGAAUCUGUCCCCUCUGUGCCGUGAACGAGGACCGACGCUCCCUCCCUGAGACCAACACACACAAUGACAGUUUGUCAUUGCUUCCUGCUACUCUACUGUACACAGAUUCAAAACUGAACACUGGGACGUUCUCAGUUCAGCAUGUUUAGAGCAGAAACACGUACUGCAUAUUGCUGUACUGGCCCAGGAUUAGUAUUACAAGGAAAUCAAUCGUUCCCUGACCUGUCGAUACACUGGGCAGCCAAGCAGGCGGUGGUGAGGAUCUCCUUGACAUGAGUCUGCCAGUUGGAAGCCUCGAGCUUGCUUAACCAGCGGUCCAUACUGUGGGACUGGUCGUUGCAUGCCUCUACCAGUUUUAUCAGGCUCUCCUGGAGGAUGUUAGACCUGGAAAUGACAUUUGAAAUCAUCACGAUUCACAAUUCUUAUUAAUUCACUAAUUAAUAUAGAGAGAGUAUAAAUAUCAGUCAUAUGAAUGUUGAAAAACACAUAGUGUCGGUGCCUUGUCGAACACACCACCAACAUUAUUACUUUAUGGAUUCAACGUAGCCCUUACUGACCACUCACCUUUCGAUUGCCUUGUGAAUCCUCCUCCAUUGGGGGUAGUUAGCCUCAGACUCGAACCCUCCACCUCGAGCUUUGGCCUGCUGGGCAAGAUUGAUGGUGCGAGUGUCGAUGAUGUAGCCACGUUUUCCUGGUCGCAGUGUGGCAUUGAUCAGCUUCUCGUCUUCCUUACAGCGUCGCCCAUUGGUGCCCGUCAGAGGCUGCCCUGCUCGCAUCAUCACCUGAAAGUUGAGGCAUCCUCUGGAAGAAAUGAAUUCCAGCCAUCUUCUAUGACUUCAAACAUGGGCCGGUAGAAGAAAGGAUACAUCAGGGAGAGUAUGUCAAGCGUGGACAGAGCCUUGAAAGUAAAAAAAUAUAUAUAUGUAUUAGUUAAUGUAGAGUCUCAUUUGACAUUUAAAAUAGGACAAUCUUUCAGAUAGUAAAAGUGAACAUUAUUUUUUGGGGUUUUGUUUUACCUCAACAGAGCUGGCAAUGUUGAAACACUCCUCCAUGCCAGGAAUGUCGAGCUGGAUCACCCUCAGGUCUUUGCAUUUGACUAUGAUGCUUCCCAGGGAGCCCACAAAUCUGAAGGGGAAGUUCGGAGACAGGAAAACUCCUGCCUGCAUUUGGUCGAGGCACACGCCUCAGAGCAAGAGUUGGUCGCCAGCAAUUGCUCCUAGGGGGACAGUGCAUUCAUUUUCAGAUCCUCUCUCCACUGGAACAGUACAGCGUAAGCAAAAAAAAAAAAGAAGAAGAAAUACAGCAGUGAAAUGCUUCAAUCUGGUGCAGAGACCGGUGUCACCGCCGACAACCACAACUCUACUCUCACUGCGUUUCCUCUCCUAUGUGCAACAUCCCCCUUUUCAUGUGAAUCCUCACAUCAGCCAGCGAGAAGCUCAUCAUCACCUUUUCU